This 76-nucleotide ribosomal RNA is filed under the name Gulosibacter chungangensis. RNAcentral's name for it is "partial 16S ribosomal RNA". It matches the Rfam family "Bacterial small subunit ribosomal RNA", at positions 1 to 72 of the family's 1533-position model. Lineage: Bacteria; Bacillati; Actinomycetota; Actinomycetes; Micrococcales; Microbacteriaceae. The record is from RNAcentral.
UUCAUUUACGGAGAGUUUGAUCCUGGCUCAGGACGAACGCUGGCGGCGUGCUUAACACAUGCAAGUCGAACGAUGA